UGGGAGCUGCAGCUGCCGGCCUACACCACAGCCAUAGCAAUGUAGGAUCCGAGCCCUGACGGAGAUCUACACUGCAGCACGUGGCAAUGUCAGAUCCUUAACCCCCUGAGCCAGGCCAGGGAUUGAAACUGCAUCCUCAUGCAGGUUCAUUACUGCUGAGCCACAGCGGGAACUCCCAUGGAAUUUUGAAUUUCCUUAUAAAGUUUUAGAAAGCAGAACUGUGGAGUUCCCUGGUGGCCUAUGCGUUAAGGAUCCAGCAUUACCACUGCUGUGGUGCAGGUUGUAUCCUGGGCCCUGGGGAACUUCUUCAUGCCAUGGGUGCACCCCCCUCCCCCCCAAAAAGGGCAGAAUUGUAUAAAAAGGAAGCCGGGUCCUCUGGGAGGAAAGGAAGGAUUGUCCUAACCUGAUGGGUCCUUUUGAGGUGCUUGUUCCCUGCUGAUUCAGAGAGUCAGACCUGCCUUUCCCCACGUGGUCACCAAAUCCGCUCUUUUCACUCCCUUGUUUUCUUCUUAUGGGGAGAGAUUUCUCCACGUUUACAGAUGAGAAACUGAGACGUUAGAGAAGCUGCGGAGGAUCGCACAGCCCGUGAGUGAAGAUUCUGAUCCAAGACUUUCACUCCUAAGGCCAACCUUUUUUUUUUUUUUUUUUUUCCCAGCUGCCUUAAGGAAAAGUAAGGGCUGAUGUUCCCCUUGGGGGGGGGUAUGGGGGUGGGGGCAGUAGGAAGGAAUGAGCGCAGGAGGGUGGGGGGCCCAGGAGGGGUGGAGAGAAGGAACCAGCCUCCGUCCACCCCUUCCCAUCCGCCCCACAACAUACGCAGAGGCGCUGAGCUCUGGUGUGCCUGCCCGGAGGGAGUUUGCACACCUGAAACUCACAUCCAGGAAUAGCUUCCAAGUCUGAAAUCUCAUUUCCUGAGACCAGCCUGGCUCUCUUCACAGAUGGCCCCCGUUUGUCAGGGUCCCCUGUUAUCGGCCACAGGGAUUUACUCAGUCCUCUCCUGUCUUUUCUUGUCCAGGGCUUCAAGAACUCUUAACAGACACAUUCUAAGAAGAAACAAACAAAAACCCCCAAAAUCCCCCCCAAACCUACCUUUUUCUUGCCCCCCAUUUUAUGAUUUUUGAAGUCCUCUUUUACCUCUUUGUGUUUACCCUUUUGCUGUUCAUUGUCGUUAUCAACUAUGCUUCCAUAAAAAAGGAACUCUUCACAGAUAUGCCUAUUCUCUCAUCCAGAAGUUUCCAAAAUAGUACUCAUUUGACUUUUGCCAAGAAAAAGUGAUUAUUUUUCAUCUACCCACAUAGUUUUCAAAACUACUCUUCACACAGCUCUUUAGGUUUUGCUGAAGUUUUGCUUAAUCCCAUUACAGCGCUGAAAACCUAGAAGACGGUCCCAGCAAAACUUUAAGCUGCAGGUUCAAAGCCAAGGGCAAUGGAUUGUUCUGAGGGAACUGGCACUGCUUGCUCUUUUUCCCUCCAGCAUCACAACUAUCUGUCAGGUCCUGUUUGCGUUCAAAAGGUCGCCGAGCUUAUAAAAGAAGAAACGUGAAAAGUCUUGCUUUAAUCACGGCGGUAAUUAGCAAAUUUGGACACCGCAUUAUCUUUCCCUUUUUAUUGGAGGCACGUUCAAGAACGGGCUUGAAGCUUAUCCCGAGCAGCUCAGAAAACUGAACCGCGUCCUCGUAAAAACAGGGUACUCAUCCAGUUCCCCGGGGGGCCUGAGUUGCUGGAAUAUUCCUUCAGAAGCACAGGUAACCCCCCUCCGAACUAAGCAUUGAAAUCCACAGAUGGUAAUUUCUGGAAUAACUUGGUUGACUUUGCAGAGGAAAGGGAAUGGGUGAGUCACACUUAGAACAGGGAGCCGGGGAAAGGAAACGUGUGCUGCUCACACGUUUAGACGGAGCAGGCGUCCUGCAGGCGUCUGAGACUCUGAUUUGCCAGCCACGUGAUCAUCGCUCGUUCCUCUGACUUUUGAUCUAGAGGGUGAGCCGGGAAGCAGCAUCCAAGGUCCCUCCACCAUCUUUUCCUGUUGGCCCUUCAGCCUCGGCCGCCUCACUCCGUCAUCUCCCGAACACGCUUCUGUUCUCUGCUGAGUCAAGCUGGGAGACGGCGUAAUGGGGGCUUCAGAAGGUUCCAUCGGAUCAGAAGUCUCUCUGGCCUUCGAGCUGCUUCUCUGAUGAUCGAUUCUCUUUCCCCACCCCCAGUUCUGUCCUCCAGGGUCUUCCUCCCAGCCUCUCUCACUUCCCUCUUCUCUCCCGGCGUCCUCCCCCCACCCCCACCCCGAUCACUCCUGGUCCCCUGUCUUUACCUGCCGCUCACCAAGAGCACCGCCUCAGAGAUUCCACCUGAGUCACGUCUCCAGGGACACCGCCCCUAGAGCAGCUUAGAACGAACUUGAACAAAACAUAACCCCCCUUCUCCCUACAUGCAGCUGCCUCUGAUUUUGGCUUCGGAACAAAUGGUACCUUCCUUCUCCCCACUGUGGGAGCCCAGAGGCCCUCCCUGCUCGGAUCUUCUUGCAUCUUCCUUUCCUUCUCUGCUGCCCCUGCUCUGCUCCAGCUCCCAAUUCCCUUCUCACAGCUUCCCAAAAUACCCUUCUGACUAGUCCCUGUUGGACUGAUUUUUUGUUCGUUUGUUUCUUUUUAAGGCGACGCCCAUGGCAUAUGGAAGUUCCCAGGCCCCGGGGGCCAAUAAGAACCUCAGCUGCCAGCCACAGCCAUAGCCACAGCCACAGCCACAGCCACAGCAACUCGGGUCCGAGCUGCAUCUAUGACCUACACCACAGCUCAUGGCAACGCCAGGACCUUAACCCACUGAUGAGCUGUGGUGUAGGUUGCAGACGCGGCUCGGAUCCCACGUUGCUGUGGCUCUGGCGUAGGCUGGAAGCUACAACUCCAGUUUGACCCUUAGCCUGGGAAUCUCCAUAUGCCACAGGAGCAGCCCAAGAAAUGGCAAAAAGACCAAAAAAAAAGCCCAGGCUCAUCCCUGCUGAAGGCUGUGACCCUCAGCACGUCUCUGAACCUCAGCUCCCUGCUUUCCUUAUCUCUAAAACUAGGCUCAUAAGAAAGCCUACUGGAUAGGCAGUGGUUGUGAGGAUUAAGAAGCACCUAUAACAAGGAGUUCCCAUUGCGGCUCAGGGUAAUGAACCCAAUUAGGAUCCAUGAGGAUGCGGGUUCUAUCCCUGGUCCUGCUCAGUGGGUUAAGUAUCUAGUGUUGGCAUGAGCCAUAGGAUAGUUUGCCCAUGUGGCUUAGAUCUGGCAUUGCUUGGCUGUGGCACAGGCCAGCAGCUGUAGUUCUGAUUCGACCCCUUAGCCUGGGAACUUCCAUAUGCCGCAGGUGCAGCCCUAAAAAAAACAGCGCCUAGAAUGACCUGGCCAAUGGUGAGCACUCAGCAGUGUCUGCCCUCAUCAGCAUCACCGAGGUUCCUGUCGUCUCUUCCCUGCUCCUUCCCUGUGGGAUUCAACCCCUUUGCACACCACGAGCCGCCCCACACUUCCCCGUGGGUGCCCCUUUGUGCCUGCCUUUCCCCCAACCUCUGAUGGCUUCUUCUCCUCCUCCAGACUUUUGAAGUCCUCUCCGCUCUCUGAUUUGAGGCUCUCUCAAAUGCCCAGUGGCUUCCUCCCCCACUGUCCCAAACGGAGCUGGUUUUUCCCUCUUUGACGGUCCUCAGCCCUUCGUUAAAGCCUCGAGUGACUGCCAUUACGUCCUGCCUGGCACCAGAGACAUUAGUGGGCUUCGAGUUUUUGUUUUUUUUUUUUAAACUAUUUCUCCAGCCUUGGAAUGUCGGUUUCUUGAGAUCAAAGACUAAGUCUUCUCCGCUUGCAUCUUCUUUUUUUUUUUUUUUU
Molecule: long non-coding RNA, 3835 nt
Filed under: Sus scrofa (pig)
Lineage: Eukaryota; Metazoa; Chordata; Mammalia; Artiodactyla; Suidae
Description: lncRNA (ENSSSCG00045017109.1)
Source: RNAcentral